This 497-nucleotide ribosomal RNA is filed under the name uncultured bacterium. Its description in RNAcentral is "partial 16S ribosomal RNA". It matches the Rfam family "Bacterial small subunit ribosomal RNA", at positions 28 to 507 of the family's 1533-position model. The record is from RNAcentral.
GAUGAACGCUGGCGGCGUGCCUAAUACAUGCAAGUCGAGCGAACGGACGAGAAGCUUGCUUCUCUGAUGUUAGCGGCGGACGGGUGAGUAACACGUGGAUAACCUACCUAUAAGACUGGGAUAACUUCGGAAAACCGGAGCUAAUACCGGAUAAUAUUUUGAACCGCAUGGUUCAAAAGUGAAAGACGGUCUUGCUGUCACUUAUAGAUGGAUCCGCGCUGCAUGAGCUAGUUGGUAAGGUAACGGCUUACCAAGGCAACGAUGCAUAGCCGACCUGAGAGGGUGAUAGGCCACACGGGAACUGAGACACGGUCCAGACUCCUACGGGAGGCAGCAGUAGGGAAUCUUCCGCAAUGGGCGAAAGCCUGACGGAGCAACGCCGCGUGAGUGAUGAAGGUCUUCGGAUCGUAAAACUCUGUUAUUAGGGAAGAACAUAUGUGUAAGUAACUGUGCACAUCUUGACGGUACCUAAUCAGAAAGCCACGGCUAACUACGUG